GANUGAUUAGCUCAGCUGGGAGAGCAUCUGCCUUACAAGCAGAGGGUCGGCGGUUCGAUCCCGUCAUCACCCACCA
This 76-nucleotide transfer RNA is filed under the name Pseudomonas fluorescens. RNAcentral describes it as "tRNA-Val". It matches the Rfam family "tRNA". Rfam says of the family: Transfer RNA (tRNA) molecules are approximately 80 nucleotides in length. Their secondary structure includes four short double-helical elements and three loops (D, anti-codon, and T loops). Lineage: Bacteria; Pseudomonadati; Pseudomonadota; Gammaproteobacteria; Pseudomonadales; Pseudomonadaceae. The record is from RNAcentral.